GGGGGCGACAUGGCUUCGACGUGGAUAGCAAAACCUUGAGUGCAUGCCGAGGACAGUACACCUCGUAAAAUCUACUGAACUUAAAGU
Molecule: transfer-messenger RNA, 87 nt
Filed under: Methylococcaceae bacterium
Lineage: Bacteria; Pseudomonadati; Pseudomonadota; Gammaproteobacteria; Methylococcales; Methylococcaceae
Description: partial transfer-messenger RNA
Rfam family: transfer-messenger RNA
About the family: Bacterial tmRNA, also known as 10Sa RNA or SsrA, is named for its dual tRNA and mRNA-like properties. Its role is to liberate the mRNA from a stalled ribosome. To accomplish this part of the tmRNA is used as a reading frame that ends in a translation stop signal.
Source: RNAcentral